CAACCCAUCUACUGUUUUCCAGUGAGGAAGCAAACCCCAGCUGUCUGAAGCCUUCUCCCUGCUCUGGCCCAGCUCUCCUUCUCUCCCCAUCACUGGUACACUGACAGCAGCAGGGAAUUGAUGUCUAGUUCAGGACAUCAGGUAGAACAGAGUUUAUUCCUGCCUUCGGUGUCCUUGCUGGACCAGGGGUCUUGGCUAGACCCUCUGUUCUGAAGAGGGUUCCCUCAUGAAGUUCCUGCUUGAGUGAGGGAUGUGUUUCUUGGCCAUCCCAAUUGCUUCCAGUCCCAGCUGAAAGCACCGCCUCCUUCCAUCUCCUCAACUUAGGAACCCCAUCUCUAGCAAAGCAUCAUCAUUGCUCAAAGUUUGGGAUGGUACUCUGUGGAGCCACAGCCACUGCAGGCAGCCAGGUGACAAAAAACUAGCAGAGUGGUAGCACAGCUUGCGAGGCUUGGUGUUGCCUUUGGGGUGUAGCCAUCCCCUGCAGCAGCUCUGCUCUUUGCUACCAGCCACGUGGCCUCUGCCACUGCUCCUAGGCGUGUUGAUAGGGGCUGUGCAGGAGAAGCACGCUCCGGCUAGCGGUACUGACUGGCCGGCAGGGAUGUAGCAGCCAGCUGCAGGACAGAAGGGUGUCAGGAAGGGUGCCAGGCUGCGCCAGCACCUCGGGGAGCAAUGGGCCGCUUGGAUGACCAUGCCAAGAAGAGGAUCGUGGAGUUGCGCAAAGCUGGGCUGAGCUUUCGCAAGAUCAAGAAAGUUUUAGAGCUGGACAACAUUCGGGUGACCCCCCAGGCGGUGUACCUCUUCCUCAAGCGGAAGAAUGUGGAGCCCUCCCAGGCGACAGGAGCCGCGCUGCCCCAGCCAACAGGUGACAGGGCGCAGCACAAGGCAGGUGCCGGCCAGGCAGGCUGGGAGGAUGAGCAGCUCUGGACCAUGCUCCAAGAAAAUGAGCCCGAGCAGAAUGAGCAGGAAGCGGUGGGUCCCAAGCUCCCUGUGCUGCCCAGUGGAGGGGCCGCAGGCAGCGAAGGGCCCUGCCUCAGCGACGGCCGAGACAGCAAGGAAGGCAUCAAGAUUGUCAGUGUGACCUCGCUCUGCAAGGAUGGCAGGCAGUUUGGGAAGCCUGUGCCCACGGGACUGCCUUCCGGGACCCAAGUGGCCCCUAGGAACAGUGAUGACUGCUCUGUGAACCGAUCGAGUACUCUGGGGAGCUGCCCGGCUCUCCUGCCCCCAGCCGUCCCCCAGCAGCCACUGCCCAAUCGAGGGAGGCUCUUUGUGCCCCCUGCCAGGAACCCAGCCCUGAUUGUAAAGAAGAAGAUUGUGGAUAGGGCUAUUCUCCUCCAGAAAAAGGUCAACAUUCAGAAUGGGCAGAGUCUGUCUGGCUCCACGACUGUCCUGCCUUUCCUGGUGGGAGUGCAGCCGGCCAGCCAGCCCCUGCAGGCAAACCCAGCUGUCCUGACCACUGCAGUGAGCCACAGUGCAAAUGUCAAAGAUGCCAGCACUCAGACUGCCCUGCUGAAUAUUGCAGGUCCUGGAAAUCAGAGCCUUGCAUGGGGGGGGCCAAUGCUUCCCCCUGCUCCCAGCUCCCAUGCCGUUGCUGAAAAGUUGGAUGCUGUACACACAGAGAUCCAGAAACUGAGUCAGGCGAUGCAUGCGGUCCUGGAGAGGCAAUGCUGCCUAGAGCGCCAGCAGGAGCAUCAGCAGCGACUCCAGCAGGAGGUGUUGAUGACGCUGCAGCAGCUCAGCUCCACAGUGAGCCAUGGGACUGUGCCAGGAAACCAGCCCUGUGUCCCCUUCAGCAGCAUGGCUGAGCCCUCGCCCACUGUGCCAAACUUCAGCCAGUUCAAGAUGGAACUAAUUUGA
Molecule: long non-coding RNA, 1854 nt
Filed under: Struthio camelus australis
Lineage: Eukaryota; Metazoa; Chordata; Aves; Struthioniformes; Struthionidae
Description: lncRNA (ENSSCUG00000006612.1)
Source: RNAcentral